RNAcentral lists this unclassified non-coding RNA (300 nucleotides) under fungal sp. Its description in RNAcentral is "partial internal transcribed spacer region". The stretch from base 1 to 45 matches the Rfam family "Eukaryotic small subunit ribosomal RNA", at positions 1787 to 1831 of the family's 1831-position model. Lineage: Eukaryota; Fungi. The record is from RNAcentral.
AGUCGUAACAAGGUAUCCGUAGGUGAACCUGCGGAUGGAUCAUUAACAAAGGUGUAUUUGAAGUUGUGUGAACAGUUGGAGGUGGUGGUGGUGGUAGUGGUAUUGGGUGGUAUUGGGUGGUAUUGGGUGUGUUUGUGGGUGGUCUAACCUUGGUCUAACCUUGGUCAACCUCACUCAACCUCACUCAACCUCACUCUCCCACUCUCCCAACCUCCACCACUCCGUCCCUAUAAUGUAUACAAACUGAUGUCUGCUAGUUUCAAACUAAAACAACUUUUAGCAACGGAUCUCUUGGCUCUC